AGAAUCAACGCUGGCGGCGUGCCUAACGCAUGCAAGUCGCACGAGAAAGUGGAGCAAUCCAUAAGUACAGUGGCGCACGGGUGAGUAACACGUGAAUUAUCUACCUCCGAGUGGGGAAUAACUGAGAGAAAUCUUAGCUAAUACCGCAUAACACUUACGAGUCAAAGCAGCAAUGCGCUUGGAGAGGAGUUCGCGGCCGAUUAGUUAGUUGGCGGGGUAAUGGCCCACCAAGACGAUGAUCGGUA
Molecule: ribosomal RNA, 245 nt
Filed under: uncultured bacterium
Lineage: Bacteria
Description: partial small subunit ribosomal RNA
Rfam family: Bacterial small subunit ribosomal RNA
Source: RNAcentral